CCUGGGAAGGGAGAGGUUGAGAGUCAGGCUGCCAGGUGUUUGGUUUUCGACCAGAACGCCUGGUCGAAAAGGAACCCUUGCGACUCUGGUCAGCGCUGCUGACUGGGCAGUUAAAAGUCCAGUCGGCAGCGCAACGGGGCUAAGGCAGGCUCCCUGCCUGCUGCAGCUCCUGGAAGCAGCAGCAUGUCCCCUCUCUGGCUCCUAUGCGUAGGGGCAGCCAGGAGGCUCUGUGCGCUGCCACCACCCCAAGUGCCAACUUCACUGCUCCUAUUGGCCAGGAAUCGUGGAGCUGCCGGAGGAGUCUAGUUACAUGCUGCUGAGCUCACUUUGGGCUAAUGGUGCACCAGCACUGAGGCUCCCCUACUACAAGCUGAAUUCACCAAAGAGCUGAACUGACUGAGAGCUGAAAUCACUGAGUGUUGUAUUAAGUAGUGUGGGAGCCUGAAGAUAUAUUGUGGAGAAGUUUGCGGGACGGCUGGAGUGCCUUGUGGACAGGCUGGUGGAGCAGUUCAUGGGAUGGCGGGAGCUGCUGGUGAGCCACGGAGCUGAGCGAAGCAGUUCGUGGGGCAGCUGGUGGAGCGGAGCGGAGCGAAGCGAAGGCCUAUGGAGCUGUGGGGCGGUCAGCUUCAGAUCAUGUAAGGUGCCUUUUACCCCCGCCCCCGUCUCCACCCAGGUUGGGAGGUAAAGCUCUGUAGAUAAACUUUUGAACUCUAGGGCUGCCCUGACCAGGGACAGAGACUUUUGGGUCAUUGGACUUUUGGGACUUUGGGGUUGCUGGACUCAAGAACCCAAGGGGAAAGGCAUGCCCCAAUUUGCUUGGGGUGGGUUUUUUGCUCAUGGGUUGUGUUAUGAAUCCUGUUGGUGGUGUGUCCCCAACAUAAUGCCACAUUGUUUCUCUCUGUUAUUAAAAGGCUUUUUGCUACACUCAGACUAGGUGCUUGCGAGAGGGGAAGUAUUGCCUCUGGGAGGCGCCCAGUGGGGGUGGUAUACAUUUGUCCCAGGUCACUGGGUGGGGGCUCGAGCCAGUUUGCAUUGUGUUAUUGGAAUGGAUCCCCUAGAUAUUGAACCCGGCCCUUGUUGCUGCCAACUCUGACGGGCAGAAGGGUUACAUAUGGUUUUAAAACAUAGGUUUUCCUUCACAUGAACCUUCCUCAAUAAAGGGGAAAUUCAUCCCUGAGACAAGGGUUAGCACAAAACCUGUGCAUCACGAAAGGCCUGUUUUGAGGGUUUACAUGGGACUUGAAAUGGUGCAGAGACCUUGUGCUGGGUCUUUCCACAGGGUUGAGUUCUGUCCUUCUCUCUUCACUUGAAUGGGGCAGGCUCAGUCUCCAGCCCACCCCUCCAUGGCAGGACUGAUGUGGCCCCAGGGCCUCCCACUUUCCAGAGCAGGACCCAACUCCCCCUACCCCUGGGGAUAAAAUGUAAUAAAACAAAAUCCCCCCACUUCCCCAAUUCAAAAAUUUAUAUGAAAAAGUAAAGAGAAUUUCACUAACCCCACUCACUCACAAGCACAAUGCAUGUGUUACAGUCUGUGGUAUGGAUAUCUUCAGGACCCAAUCAAGCCUUGAGAUCCUUUCUCCCUCCACCUACCACUCCCACCCAGUGCACCUCAAUUAACACAACGGCACAAUUCUCACCUUGUGAGGAAAUACUUUUUCCACACAACAUGUAAUUCAGCUGUGGAACUCAUUGCCAUAGGAUGUUGCUGAAGCCAAAACUUACUUAAGGUUCAAAAAGGCAUUGGCUAGAUCUGUGGAUAAGAAGAACAUCCAAGAUUACGAUUGUUAAUGCUAAUGUAAAUUCUGGAAGGGAUAUUAAACCUCAUGUUUUGGGCUUUACACCAAUCUCUAACUAUUUGGGAUCAGAAUAAAACCUAAUUGUGGGGCCAGAUUAUCCUAAUGAGAGGUUUCUUGCAUCUUCCUCUGCAGCAUCUGGUGCUGGCGAGUAUCAGAGACAGGAGACUGGAGGAGAUGGACUUUGAGUCUGAUCCAGACCAGCAAUUCCUAUGUCCCUGUGCUCAAAGGAGAAGCAAUACUUUAUUCUGCAGGUGUUUCCACUGAUGAAAAUGGGAUUGCUCACAGAGCAAGCUACAUCCUGAAAGUGGAGCUAGUAAACUGACGGUCAUUGGGCAAUAUUGCUGAGAACAGAAUGAAGCAAUGGGCUUUCUCAACAGAACAAGUCAGACUGGUCCAUGCCUCAAAGAACUUCCAGUCUAGAUUUCAGAUAUGGCACAACAUGGGAGGACAACAAACAAAGAAAAGGAGGCUCAAAGGGAGACAUAGGAUGAAGAUUAUUACAAAAGUACUAUUAAUUUAUAUUAAAUUAGUGCUUAGAGGCCUCAGUAGAGUAUCCAGUUUGCUAAGUGCUCUGCAAACAUGUAGGAAACACCCAGAUUUUGCAGUCUAGAUCACAUAGUUCUGCACAUACCUACAAUGCAUAUCUUAAUGGUUCUAGUUCCAGUAAUUCCUGUAGUCCCUCAGAUAUGAUUGACAUUUCACUCCAUAUUCUUUAUGAAAAUAUGCUUAUGAUAUGAAUAUGACAUAACUGAUAUGUACUUUAUGCAAGAUGGGUCUUGUAAGGUGUCAUUGGAAAGGUAAUGAUGUACUAAAUAUGAUUAUCCAAUUAAUAUGCAUAUAUCGUUUCUGUAGCUAAAGUUAGAAAUAUGGACUAUGUAACAAUUACAACUGGGUGUGUAUCGGGAAGAAACCCACCAGAGGACAGGCCAUCAAAUUUAAUGGAGUGGAGAUGUAAUUUCUUCCCAAGAGUCAUCCUUUGUGAAUUGAUGCCAAUAACAAUAAUCCUCUUCUGUACUUCACACUGUAUGUUAUAUAUUGAUCCAGGUUUUGGUUGGACCACCUAAGAGACUUUUGAUGUUCUCUACAGUGAUCAUCUCUCCCUAAAUAUUUCACUAUUCCUAGUGUCUUUGUGCUCUUUUCUGCUACCUUCUUCACGAAGCUCAGCCCCUCACAUUUACUGGUUCCAGGAUGCGGCAGGAGGUCCUUCCAUCUUGGAAGUGACUUCCCAUUCUGUCUCCUCAGGCUGAUGCUGCCCCACAACUAACUAUUACUUGCCAAUCCUGGUUGAGCACACUGCAAAUCCAUCUCCUCGGUCACCAUGCUACUUUACAUCCAUGGUCACAGGUUCAAUGCUCACUUUGAGGGUGAAAGAGCUCUAACACAGGGCCAAUGGGCAUCAUUAAGCUUGAUCGAAGAAAGAAGGUGGGGAGUCCUAUAUUAAAGUAUGGGACUUCAGGGCAUAUCAGUUCCUCAGUGGGAGAGAAACUGAUGAUAGAGAUUUAGCAUAAUCCUCCUAGUCUGUUCAAUUUACAACCUGCAUGGGAUUUGGAGGGAGGACUACAGGUUGCAGGAGGGAAGUGUUCGGAAGCAGCACCAGAAAGUCAGUCUGUAUGCACACAGCCAGAAUGCUAGCUGCUCCUGCAGAAUCUCUGUAAAUGGCUCUCAUAUUAAAGAGCCAGUUUAGUUUUACAAGCAUGGAGUCCUUUAAUGGUAUUACCCAACACAUGGUAAAUGAAACACAUGCUAUGCAGACAAGCCCUGCUUAUCUUGAACAGAGACAGCAUAAACAGCAGCAAAGCUCCACAGAACCAAUUCCACUAUCAGGGUUCUAACUACAAGGCUUGUAUUCCCGUCCUUUUACCUAUAUCUUUCUUGUCUAAACCUGUAUCUUGGUUUUGGCACUCCAUCCCGGAAACUCCCCAGCUCACUUCCCACCACUGCAUUUUCAUUAUCAUUAUUAUAACUAGAUAAAGCAAGUGUCAAUUAUCUCCAACUGCCUCUCAACCAAACCAUCAUUUUUAGGCUGAUUUCUCAUAAGCAUUCCUGCAGAAGUGGGUCUUGAAGAGGGAUUUGAAGGAGACGAGAAUAGUGACCUUACAGAUCACUUCCGGAAUGGUAUUCUGUGCAUAAGGGGCAUUGAGGAAGAAGACACAGAGAUGGGCAUGUGACAAGCUAACACGUAGAUGGUGCUGUCAUUUUUGGUGGUUUGGUCUCCAGCUCUGUAUGUGGAGCUUGCUCCUGAAAGCUAAAAGGAGGUUUGAUAAAAAUGCCCCAUAGAAAUCUGAAAUAUCCCAUUGUGACGCUUUGCUCCAUAUUCUUUAUGCAAAUAUGCUUAUGAUAUGAAUAUGACAUAACUGAGAUGUACUUUAUACACAAUGGGUUUUGUAAGGUAUCAUUGGAAAGGUUAUAAUUUACUGAAUGCGAUUAUCCAAUUUGUAUGCCUGUAUCAUUUCUCAAAAAGAAAAGGAGUACUUGUGGCACCUUA
Long non-coding RNA from Caretta caretta (loggerhead turtle), 4281 nucleotides. RefSeq lists it as uncharacterized. Lineage: Eukaryota; Metazoa; Chordata; Testudines; Cheloniidae. The record is from RefSeq and is a predicted model, not a curated record.